Molecule: ribosomal RNA, 448 nt
Filed under: uncultured bacterium
Lineage: Bacteria
Description: partial 16S ribosomal RNA
Rfam family: Bacterial small subunit ribosomal RNA
Source: RNAcentral
GCCAGACUCCUACGGGAGGCAGCAGUGGGGAAUAUUGCACAAUGGGGGAAACCCUGAUGCAGCGACGCCGCGUGAGUGAAGAAGUAUUUCGGUAUGUAAAGCUCUAUCAGCAGGAAAGAAAAUGACGGUACCUGACUAAGAAGCCCCGGCUAACUACGUGCCAGCAGCCGCGGUAAUACGUAGGGGGCAAGCGUUAUCCGGAUUUACUGGGUGUAAAGGGAGCGUAGACGGUGAAGCAAGUCUGAAGUGAAAGGCGGGGGCUCAACCCCCGGACUGCUUUGGAAACUGUUUGACUGGAGUGCAGGAGAGGUAAGUGGAAUUCCUAGUGUAGCGGUGAAAUGCGUAGAUAUCAGGAGGAACACCGGUGGCGAAGGCGGCCUGCUGGACUGCGACUGACGUUGAGGCCCGAAAGCGUGGGGAGCAAACAGGAUUAGAUACCCUCGUAUCA